Quercus robur (English oak) is the source of this 585-nucleotide long non-coding RNA. RefSeq lists it as uncharacterized. The record is from RefSeq and is a predicted model, not a curated record. The transcript has 2 exons. NCBI's taxonomy places the organism in Eukaryota, Viridiplantae, Streptophyta, Magnoliopsida, Fagales, Fagaceae.
UAUAGCACUUCGUCUGGAGCUCUAUCUUCAAUCUUCACUUUUCUUUUUUCUUUUCUUUUCUAGCACUACGUCUACUCCAGAGCAUUCAAGAAGCACCAUUGCCUGUCCUCCUGCCACCGAGGCUCAGAUGGGUUGCGGUGUUUGGUGGUGGUGUUGGGUUUGGCGGUUGGGUGGUUAUUUUCUGCUUCCUUCUUUUUAUUCUGCCGCGCUAGGUUGUUGUAGAUGUUGGGAGAGGGUAUUUGUGUAAAAGUGCGUUCACAGCACUUUUCUCUCCAGAUUUUCCUCUCGAUUUGGGAGGAUGAAAAUUGUGGGCCCGGGAGAGAAAAUUUUCUCCCGGGUUUUCCUUUCUCCCCGUUUUCCUUCUUUUGCCAAACAAUGGAAAACACUAUUUUCUACCCUAUUUUCCUCCCUAUGUUUUCCAUCCUCCCUAUUUUCACCCCAACCAAACACAGUGUAAGUGAGGAAUACUGUAAAACAUCAUUGCACCUAAAAGAAAAAUUAGAUAAAAACAAUUACUAAUUCUCUUACCUGCUAGGUUGUGUUCCUAGGAAACUUGCAAAAUCAAAAGGAAAAAAUAAAAUAAAA